Molecule: ribosomal RNA, 465 nt
Filed under: uncultured bacterium
Lineage: Bacteria
Description: partial 16S ribosomal RNA
Rfam family: Bacterial small subunit ribosomal RNA
Source: RNAcentral
GACGAACGCUGGCGGCGUGCUUAACACAUGCAAGUCGAACGGAAAGGCCCUGCUUGCAGGGUACUCGAGUGGCGAACGGGUGAGUAACACGUGGGUGAUCUGCCCUGCACUUCGGGAUAAGCCUGGGAAACUGGGUCUAAUACCGGAUAGGAGCCAUUUUUAGUGUGAUGGUUGGAAAGUUUUUUUGGUGUAGGAUGAGCUCGCGGCCUAUCAGCUUGUUGGUGGGGUAAUGGCCUACCAAGGCGGCGACGGGUAGCCGGCCUGAGAGGGUGGACGGCCACAUUGGGACUGAGAUACGGCCCAGACUCCUACGGGAGGCAGCAGUGGGGAAUAUUGCACAAUGGGCGCAAGCCUGAUGCAGCGACGCCGCGUGGGGGAUGACGGCCUUCGGGUUGUAAACUCCUUUCGCUAGGGACGAAGCUUUUUGUGACGGUACCUAGAUAAGAAGCACCGGCUAACUACGUG